UGGAAUAAUUACAUAUGUACGAUAAUUUUACCAGAAGUACAAAAAUUUCAACUAGUAUAGUACGAUAAUAUGACCAAAACAAUCUGGCAACGCUGAAUAAUUCCUGUGCCACCUGUAGCAUCAAGAUCAAGAUCAAGUCUGGUGGAGGGAACAGAGGCGGCGUCCGCGUGGUGCUGUGGUCAGUGGUCAGGUCACGCCGAGUGUGCGGCAGAUUGCGCCUGUGUUUGAGCUGGCCUGGGUCACCUGUGGCCACCUGGCGGACUGGCGGCGCCUCCCUGGCCUCACCUGAGGGCGUGCAGGACAGCAGUGGCGAGACGGCAAGACCCCACCAGCAAGUCCAUUCUGCCCCAGAGCCCCUCGGGUCAGUGGCCGGCAAGUCCUCCCGUCCAUUCUGCCCCAGAGCCCCUCGGCCAGGUCCCACUGCAAGAUGGCGUCGUCCUUCCCCCCGCUGACCAGCAAGGAACCCUCGCUGGGGUGCCACUCCACGGUGCUGACCGGCGCUGAGUGGUGCUUCAGCUCUGCCACAGCCCGCGUCACUUCAACUACAGCCUUUGCAAUGUAGAAAUGUUGUUAAUCUGUCACCAGAACCACAAAAACACCCUUAAAAACCCGCGUCACUUCAACUACAGCCUUUGCAAUGUAGAAAUGUUGUUAAUCUGUCACCAGAACCACAAAAACACCCUUAAAAACCCGUGUCACUUCAACUACAGCCUUUGCAAUGUAGAAAUGUUGUUAAUCUGUCACCAGAACCACAAAAACACCCUUAAAAACCCGCGUCACUUCAACUACAGCCUUUGCAAUGUAGAAAUGUUGUUAAUCUGUCACCAGAACCACAAAAACACCCUUAAAAACCCGCACCACUUCAACUACAGCCUUUGGAAUGUAGAAAUUUUGUUAAUCUUUCACCAGAACCACAAAAACACCCUUAAAAACCCGCGUCACUUCAACUACAGCCUUUGGAAUGUAGAAAUGUUGUUAAUCUGUCACCAGAACCACAAAAACACCCUUAAAAACCCGCGUCACUUCAACUACAGCCUUUGCAAUGUAGAAAUGUUGUUAAUCUGUCACCAGAACCACAAAAACACCCUUAAAAACCCGCGUCACUUCAACUACAGCCUUUGGAAUGUAGAAAUGUUGUUAAUCUGUCACCAGAACCACAAAAACACCCUUAAAAACCCGCGUCACUUCAACUACAGCCUUUGCAAUGUAGAAAUGUUGUUAAUCUGUCACCAGAACCACAAAAACACCCUUAAAAACCCGUGUCACUUCAACUACAGCCUUUGCAAUGUAGAAAUGUUGUUAAUCUGUCACCAGAACCACAAAAACACCCUUAAAAACCCGUGUCACUUCAACUACAGCCUUUGCAAUGUAGAAAUGUUGUUAAUCUGUCACCAGAACUGUAGUCGCAGCGGCUGGGCAUGAGUUGGCUCUCAGGUGAUCUGUUUUACCAAUCACACCAUCAUCGUAGGGUAGAGGAGAGGCAGUUCUCCCUGACACGUUUAUUGAUGAGGUAGGCACGACCGUAACAACUGCGGACAAGUUCUCUGUCUCAAUUUCUUACAAGAUAACGUUACACGCUGAUAUUAAACACUUUCAACAUAUUACAGUAUUCAUUAACAAUACAUGCAGUCAACUUGGCACUAUGACAAGCAGUUUUUACCACAAAAUUAAAGUAUUUACCUCGGUCACCAUCCUGCCCGUCUUUGUCUGAGCGCGACUUGGCCGUGAGUGAUGCCCGCAGGCGACCAGCAGGUUAACCCCACACUACCAACAAGUGAGCAUCGGCUUUGUGCUCAAUAUAGCACUGAAUACUGAUACUCACACAUGUUACACGUUUUCAUGCAAAUAGAAGACUAUUGAACAUUUCACUUAUAAAUGCCGAGGAAUAAUGACGUGAGGUACAAACGCUUUACGUACAGUAACACAGUCCAUUUACCAGGCUUUACUACUGCUUCCUUUCUUCAGUAUUACCAAAGUUUACUCAGCUGAACCUUUUAUUUCAAAGUGAAAGAGUGGUCAUAACUGAAUUGCACAGGCAGGUUUGUAAUUUAUAUAAAGAAUUGCUACUGAUGUACAUGAACCAUGAAUACAUUGUGAAAACCAUGCUUUCAAAAGUUGAUCCAAGAUAUCAACGUGAGUUCCUGAUGCUAGAGCAGGUGUAUUUGGGUGCAUCUGUCUUAAAAACAGUAACAGACAAUCCAGAAUUAAGCAAGCAAAAAAAGGAAAUGUACGAGUUUGGCUUCCACUGCAGAUUAUUUUUGAUAGUAGCAGCAGAACAGAUCAGGAAGAGAUUUCAUUUCUGAGAUGAAGAAGUCCUUUCAAGAAUGCACAUGCUGGAGCCAGCCAGUGUUCUAGGCAUCCAGGGCAAAGUGCAAGAGCAAAGUGUGGUGCCCCUCGCGACACACCUUCCCCGAAUCAUUGCCCAGGAUGAUUCUACCCUCCAGCAACUGGACGAUGAGUGGAAGAGGCUUGCCGUAGAAGAUCUGCCUGAAUCCAUUACCAACAUGGCGAAAAAAGUGGACAAAAGCAAUUACAACCAGCCUGAUAAAUUUUGGUGUGCCAUAAAAACUCUGGAGGAUAGUGAUGGAAACCCCAAGUUUAAGCUUGUUUCAGACUUUUCACUAGGAUGUCUUUCUUUGCCUCAUGCUAAUGCUGACUGUGAGUGCUGCUUCUCUAGUGUAAACCGUGUGAAAACAAAAGACAGAAAUAAGCUAAUAACAGAAACCGUAAGAGACAUGAUCCUAGCGAAGCAGUGUGUUGCGUCCACAUCCAGCAGUGACUGUACGACCUUCAAGCCAUCAAUCAAAGUCAAUGAUAAAAAACAUGACAUCAAGAGUGCUAUAUUCCUCCAAUGAAGAGAGUGCCGGGGCUGCUGACGACGUGCCCCAUGUAUAUAUAGAAGAACAAGACCACUAAUCUCCUACAUACAUCAAGAUCAAGAUCAAGUCUGGUGGAGGGAACAGAGGCGGCGUCCGCGUGGUGCUGUGGUCAGUGGUCAGGUCACGCCGAGUGUGCGGCAGAUUGCGCCUGUGUUUGAGCUGGCCUGGGUCACCUGUGGCCACCUGGCGGACUGGCGGCGCCUCCCUGGCCUCACCUGAGGGCGUGCAGGACAGCAGUGGCGAGACGGCAAGACCCCACCAGCAAGUCCAUUCUGCCCCAGAGCCCCUCGGGUCAGUGGCCGGCAAGUCCUCCCGUCCAUUCUGCCCCAGAGCCCCUCGGCCAGGUCCCACUGCAAGAUGGCGUCGUCCUUCCCCCCGCUGACCAGCAAGGAACCCUCGCUGGGGUGCCACUCCACGGUGCUGACCGGCGCUGAGUGGUGCUUCAGCUCUGCCACAGCCCGCGUCACUUCAACUACAGCCUUUGCAAUGUAUAAAAUGUUGUUAACCUGUCACCAGAACCACAAAAACACCCUUAAAAACCCGCGUCACUUCAACUACAGCCUUUGCAAUGUAGAAAUGUUGUUAAUCUGUCACCAGAACCACAAAAACACCCUUAAAAACCCGCGUCACUUCAACUACAGCCUUUGCAAUGUAGAAAUGUUGUUAAUCUGUCACCAGAACCACAAAAACACCCUUAAAAACCCGCGUCACUUCAACUACAGCCUUUGGAAUGUAGAAAUGUUGUUAAUCUGUCACCAGAACCACAAAAACACCCUUAAAAACCCGCGUCACUUCAACUACAGCCUUUGCAAUGUAGAAAUGUUGUUAAUCUGUCACCAGAACCACAAAAACACCCUUAAAAACCCGCGUCACUUCAACUACAGCCUUUGGAAUGUAGAAAUGUUGUUAAUCUGUCACCAGAACCACAAAAACACCCUUAAAAACCCGCGUCACUUCAACUACAGCCUUUGCAAUGUAGAAAUGUUGUUAAUCUGUCACCAGAACCACAAAAACACCCUUAAAAACCCGUGUCACUUCAACUACAGCCUUUGCAAUGUAGAAAUGUUGUUAAUCUGUCACCAGAACCACAAAAACACCCUUAAAAACCCGUGUCACUUCAACUACAGCCUUUGCAAUGUAGAAAUGUUGUUAAUCUGUCACCAGAACUGUAGUCGCAGCGGCUGGGCAUGAGUUGGCUCUCAGGUGAUCUGUUUUACCAAUCACACCAUCAUCGUAGGGUAGAGGAGAGGCAGUUCUCCCUGACACGUUUAUUGAUGAGGUAGGCACGACCGUAACAACUGCGGACAAGUUCUCUGUCUCAAUUUCUUACAAGAUAACGUUACACGCUGAUAUUAAACACUUUCAACAUAUUACAGUAUUCAUUAACAAUACAUGCAGUCAACUUGGCACUAUGACAAGCAGUUUUUACCACAAAAUUAAAGUAUUUACCUCGGUCACCAUCCUGCCCGUCUUUGUCUGAGCGCGACUUGGCCGUGAGUGAUGCCCGCAGGCGACCAGCAGGUUAACCCCACACUACCAACAAGUGAGCAUCGGCUUUGUGCUCAAUAUAGCACUGAAUACUGAUACUCACACAUGUUACACGUUUUCAUGCAAAUAGAAGACUAUUGAACAUUUCACUUAUAAAUGCCGAGGAAUAAUGACGUGAGGUACAAACGCUUUACGUACAGUAACACAGUCCAUUUACCAGGCUUUACUACUGCUUCCUUUCUUCAGUAUUACCAAAGUUUACUCAGCUGAACCUUUUAUUUCAAAGUGAAAGAGUGGUCAUAACUGAAUUGCACAGGCAGGUUUGUAAUUUAUAUAAAGAAUUGCUACUGAUGUACAUGAACCAUGAAUACAUUGUGAAAACCAUGCUUUCAAAAGUUGAUCCAAGAUAUCAACGUGAGUUCCUGAUGCUAGAGCAGGUGUAUUUGGGUGCAUCUGUCUUAAAAACAGUAACAGACAAUCCAGAAUUAAGCAAGCAAAAAAAGGAAAUGUACGAGUUUGGCUUCCACUGCAGAUUAUUUUUGAUAGUAGCAGCAGAACAGAUCAGGAAGAGAUUUCAUUUCUGAGAUGAAGAAGUCCUUUCAAGAAUGCACAUGCUGGAGCCAGCCAGUGUUCUAGGCAUCCAGGGCAAAGUGCAAGAGCAAAGUGUGGUGCCCCUCGCGACACACCUUCCCCGAAUCAUUGCCCAGGAUGAUUCUACCCUCCAGCAACUGGACGAUGAGUGGAAGAGGCUUGCCGUAGAAGAUCUGCCUGAAUCCAUUACCAACAUGGCGAAAAAAGUGGACAAAAGCAAUUACAACCAGCCUGAUAAAUUUUGGUGUGCCAUAAAAACUCUGGAGGAUAGUGAUGGAAACCCCAAGUUUAAGCUUGUUUCAGACUUUUCACUAGGAUGUCUUUCUUUGCCUCAUGCUAAUGCUGACUGUGAGUGCUGCUUCUCUAGUGUAAACCGUGUGAAAACAAAAGACAGAAAUAAGCUAAUAACAGAAACCGUAAGAGACAUGAUCCUAGCGAAGCAGUGUGUUGCGUCCACAUCCAGCAGUGACUGUACGACCUUCAAGCCAUCAAUCAAAGUCAAUGAUAAAAAACAUGACAUCAAGAGUGCUAUAUUCCUCCAAUGAAGAGAGUGCCGGGGCUGCUGACGACGUGCCCCAUGUAUAUAUAGAAGAACAAGACCACUAAUCUCCUACAUACAUCAAGAUCAAGAUCAAGUCUGGUGGAGGGAACAGAGGCGGCGUCCGCGUGGUGCUGUGGUCAGUGGUCAGGUCACGCCGAGUGUGCGGCAGAUUGCGCCUGUGUUUGAGCUGGCCUGGGUCACCUGUGGCCACCUGGCGGACUGGCGGCGCCUCCCUGGCCUCACCUGAGGGCGUGCAGGACAGCAGUGGCGAGACGGCAAGACCCCACCAGCAAGUCCAUUCUGCCCCAGAGCCCCUCGGGUCAGUGGCCGGCAAGUCCUCCCGUCCAUUCUGCCCCAGAGCCCCUCGGCCAGGUCCCACUGCAAGAUGGCGUCGUCCUUCCCCCCGCUGACCAGCAAGGAACCCUCGCUGGGGUGCCACUCCACGGUGCUGACCGGCGCUGAGUGGUGCUUCAGCUCUGCCACAGCCCGCGUCACUUCAACUACAGCCUUUGCAAUGUAGAAAUGUUGUUAAUCUGUCACCAGAACCACAAAAACACCCUUAAAAACCCGUGUCACUUCAACUACAGCCUUUGCAAUGUAGAAAUGUUGUUAAUCUGUCACCAGAACCACAAAAACACCCUUAAAAACCCGCGUCACUUCAACUACAGCCUUUGCAAUGUAGAAAUGUUGUUAAUCUGUCACCAGAACUGUAGUCGCAGCGGCUGGGCAUGAGUUGGCUCUCAGGUGAUCUGUUUUACCAAUCACACCAUCAUCGUAGGGUAGAGGAGAGGCAGUUCUCCCUGACACGUUUAUUGAUGAGGUAGGCACGACCGUAACAACUGCGGACAAGUUCUCUGUCUCAAUUUCUUACAAGAUAACGUUACACGCUGAUAUUAAACACUUUCAACAUAUUACAGUAUUCAUUAACAAUACAUGCAGUCAACUUGGCACUAUGACAAGCAGUUUUUACCACAAAAUUAAAGUAUUUACCUCGGUCACCAUCCUGCCCGUCUUUGUCUGAGCGCGACUUGGCCGUGAGUGAUGCCCGCAGGCGACCAGCAGGUUAACCCCACACUACCAACAAGUGAGCAUCGGCUUUGUGCUCAAUAUAGCACUGAAUACUGAUACUCACACAUGUUACACGUUUUCAUGCAAAUAGAAGACUAUUGAACAUUUCACUUAUAAAUGCCGAGGAAUAAUGACGUGAGGUACAAACGCUUUACGUACAGUAACACAGUCCAUUUACCAGGCUUUACUACUGCUUCCUUUCUUCAGUAUUACCAAAGUUUACUCAGCUGAACCUUUUAUUUCAAAGUGAAAGAGUGGUCAUAACUGAAUUGCACAGGCAGGUUUGUAAUUUAUAUAAAGAAUUGCUACUGAUGUACAUGAACCAUGAAUACAUUGUGAAAACCAUGCUUUCAAAAGUUGAUCCAAGAUAUCAACGUGAGUUCCUGAUGCUAGAGCAGGUGUAUUUGGGUGCAUCUGUCUUAAAAACAGUAACAGACAAUCCAGAAUUAAGCAAGCAAAAAAAGGAAAUGUACGGGUUUCGCUUCCACUGCAGAUUAUUUUUGAUAGUAGCAGCAGAACAGAUCAGGAAGAGAUUUCAUUUCUGAGAUGAAGAAGUCCUUUCAAGAAUGCACAUGCUGGAGCCAGCCAGUGUUCUAGGCAUCCAGGGCAAAGUGCAAGAGCAAAGUGUGGUGCCCCUCGCGACACACCUUCCCCGAAUCAUUGCCCAGGAUGAUUCUACCCUCCAGCAACUGGACGAUGAGUGGAAGAGGCUUGCCGUAGAAGAUCUGCCUGAAUCCAUUACCAACAUGGCGAAAAAAGUGGACAAAAGCAAUUACAACCAGCCUGAUAAAUUUUGGUGUGCCAUAAAAACUCUGGAGGAUAGUGAUGGAAACCCCAAGUUUAAGCUUGUUUCAGACUUUUCACUAGGAUGUCUUUCUUUGCCUCAUGCUAAUGCUGACUGUGAGUGCUGCUUCUCUAGUGUAAACCGUGUGAAAACAAAAGACAGAAAUAAGCUAAUAACAGAAACCGUAAGAGACAUGAUCCUAGCGAAGCAGUGUGUUGCGUCCACAUCCAGCAGUGACUGUACGACCUUCAAGCCAUCAAUCAAAGUCAAUGAUAAAAAACAUGACAUCAAGAGUGCUAUAUUCCUCCAAUGAAGAGAGUGCCGGGGCUGCUGACGACGUGCCCCAUGUAUAUAUAGAAGAACAAGACCACUAAUCUCCUACAUACAUCAAGAUCAAGAUCAAGUCUGGUGGAGGGAACAGAGGCGGCGUCCGCGUGGUGCUGUGGUCAGUGGUCAGGUCACGCCGAGUGUGCGGCAGAUUGCGCCUGUGUUUGAGCUGGCCUGGGUCACCUGUGGCCACCUGGCGGACUGGCGGCGCCUCCCUGGCCUCACCUGAGGGCGUGCAGGACAGCAGUGGCGAGACGGCAAGACCCCACCAGCAAGUCCAUUCUGCCCCAGAGCCCCUCGGGUCAGUGGCCGGCAAGUCCUCCCGUCCAUUCUGCCCCAGAGCCCCUCGGGUGUCUACUGCCUCCUCCUACAAAGGCUGGCAAGUCCUCCCAUCCACUCUGCCCCAGAGCCCCUCAGGUCAGUGGCCGGCCACUCAGAACGCUGCACCACUGCUGUCAACACUUGCUUCUUUGUCACAAGUUACCACCAACAAAAACUGAUUGGCUCGCUCUUUGCACGGCUGUGGUGGCCCGCACAGAGUCAGUUGUUGUGUGGCGGCCCUACUCUGUAUGGAGGCUGUGUGUUAGGCUGAGGCUGAGGCAGGAAGCCCCUCGCUGCCUGCGUGGUGACGGCCUCCUCUGUUACAGGUGCCAGGUGUAUCUUGUCUGUGGAGGCUGUGUGUUAGGCUGAGGCUGAGGCAGGAAGCCCCUCGCUGCCUGUGUGGUGACGGCCUCCUCUG
This is an RNA transcript of Scylla paramamosain (green mud crab), 8417 nucleotides long. It is a transcript of the gene named gastrula zinc finger protein XlCGF57.1-like, with no coding region annotated. The transcript is spliced from 12 exons. NCBI's taxonomy places the organism in Eukaryota, Metazoa, Arthropoda, Malacostraca, Decapoda, Portunidae. The record is from RefSeq and is a predicted model, not a curated record.